CCUCCAGCGCGCCGCACCAUGACCCGCCGUCGCACCAUGCCCCCCCGCCGCGCGCCGCCACCCCAUGACCCGCCGUCUCACCAUGCCCCGCCGCCGCGCAGCGCCACCCCAUGACCCGCCAUCGCACCACGCCCCGCCGCCGCGCACUGCCACCCCAUGACCCGCCGCCGCACCAUACCCCGCCGCCGCGUGCAUCCACCCCCUGCCCCGCCGCCACGCGCAUCCACCUCCUGCCCCGCCGCCGUGCGCCACCACCCCCUGUCCCGCCGCCGCGCGCGCAGGAUUCUACCGGCCGGAGAAGCCGUGAGCCGGAUCCAGCCUCGCCCCUGAGCUCCGUCUUCUUCCCUGCCUCCCUUCCGCGAACCGGACGCCUCCUUCUGGGUGGUCCUGCACCGCUGCGUCUAGCGGUCCAACCUCGUCACCCGAGGCCGUUCACCGUAGCAGCGCCUCCCUCCGUCCGCGCCAUGGGCUCCCGUGCACGGCCCUUGCCGAAGCUGGCGCGCACAUCCCUGCCCCACCUUUUCUCCCUCUCUGUUCAUGCACUCCAUGGAUUCUUGUUGAGUGCACGUCAUGUGUUUGCUCAAAUGUCUAAGUGCACUGUAAUACUAGUUUUGAUGUGUUCACUGUUUAUUUGUAGCUACCUUGUGCUUGCUAAAUGUCACAGCUUACAAUACUUGGAGAAUUUUUCGUGUGUGAUCUGUACUUUAGGUGCUAAUCCGAGAAUUCGUGUCCUCAAGGAGUUCAUGUAUUACUACCAUAGGAGUUCGAACACUACACCAAGAAAAAGUUCACCACACAGUACAUUUUAGAAAAAGGACACUCUGGAAAGUUUACUGGAAAGAAUACUUAACAAGAGCCGCAUGUUUGUUUUACUGCCUAAAGGUGAUCUGCUGUGAAGUUAAGUGAGGCAAGGCUAGGACAAGUCUGACUGUUUUUGAGUGGGAAGUUCUGGGUUCUGACUUGCAUUUGAUGUAGGUGAGGGGCAACUACCCAAAAUUUCUUGAAUGAUUGGUUCUUCCAUUUCUCAGUUCUACAAUGAUGAUCUUCCCAAAAAGUUCCCAAUUUUUUUGAUCAAUUUCUCAGUCGGUUUCGUAGAUCCAAGAAUAAAUGAAUGCAAUGCUAAAGAUGUCACUGGCAUAGAAAAAUGUAGUACGUGGUUCUUCCUGGAAUGUAGAUAGCUUUCUUUGUCCUCAUUAAAGAAAUAUAGCCUGUAUUAUUGCUAAAAAUGUCCACAUUAGUUCAGACUCAAAAAGACCAUAAAGUUCAGAGGAAGAUAAAAUUAGCAAGAGAACAAAAAAACAAGGUGGCUCACCACAGAAACCCGGGAAAACCGAGGUCUCGUUUUCUUUUUUGCUCUAGUUUAUUCUACUUUGGCAUUUGGUGGAUGAUAUUUAUUUCAUCCUUCAUCACUGAUCUUGAGAAGGAGAUUGAUCCGUGCAUUUCUACUUUCAGUGUGUAAAUCUAUUGAUUUUUAGUGGUUAGGAAUUUUGGGAGAGUAGAAACCUGGAAGAGCACUUUCAACCGUCCAGGAAGACAACAACGACAACCAGUAUGAUGGAUGUGGGAGUUAUUUUGACAUUUCAUCGUACAGUUCUUCUCUUUGUGUAGUGUUGUGUGUUUUCAAGUGCUUGAUGAAAAUUGAUGUUCCAAGUAGUUCAUGUAUUAUUGGCUGAGGAGUUCAUGUACUGCCUAGUAAGUAAACCUGUUCAACGAUGUAAAGCCACGCAAGUUCGAAAGGAUUCACAUCAGUACAAACUCGAGAGGGCAUGUAUUACCGUCCAGAGUACAAACUUUUAGCUUACCAAGAAGUUCAUGUAUUACCAUUUAGAGGAGUUCAUGUAUUACUAUCCAGGAAGUAUAACUAUUGGUAUAGAAAAUGUUCAAUAUUUGUUCGAAAGCUACCUGCAAAAGAGAAGCCCUUCUUACAUCCACAACAUCUUAAUUUUUAUUCAGUUUAAUUUCCAAUUUUAGUGCAUUUCAUUCUUGUUUUUAGUUCAGUCAGUUUCUUAUUUUAUUUUCCUUCAAUUUCUAAUUCUUUUUCAGUUUAGUUUCUAAUUUUACUAAAGUUCAAUUUCUAAUUCCAAACAGUUUGUGUAAAUUCCCAUCGAGCAGGUGUGCACGGCGAGCAGCUACUGAACUUGUGCUGGUGCUGCUUUUGGAUUGCCCAGGAAGCACAUGAUUAUAGAAGGCAAAAUCUGUAACCUAUAUAAUUCAUGUUUGUUCUGACACUUAAGCAAUUUUUAUGUUCUGACACUUUAGCCAUGGCGAUUCUACACCCCAUGACCCGCCUCCUACCAGGGAGCAGCCAGGGCCUCAUGUACAAAAGGGCUCCGUCUCUUCUCAACCCAGAGCUAGCUAGGGAAGACGAAGCACAACAAUACCUGGCAGUGAGUUAUAAUCCAUCCACAAGCAGCAGCAGCAAAAGUGUGUGUAGGUUGAUCAGACUGUACAUACACACACACCCUUAUAUGUCGGAGGAUCCACGGAGCGCGAUGGAGGGGAGGGCGAGGCGACGCGCCAGCCCGUCCAGGAUGCGCACCAAGGCUGUCAGGGUGGAGCCGGAGCCACCACCGACCAGGAGGCACGAGCCAGGGACGAGGGCGGCGGUGGUGUACUACCUUUGCCGCAACCACCACCUGGAGCACCCACACUUCAUGGAGGUGACCCUCGCCUCCCCGCAAGGCCUCUACCUGCGAGAUGUGUUUGACCGGCUGGACGCCCUGAGAGGGAAGGGAAUGGCAGCCAAGUAUUCCUAGUCCUGCAAGAGGAGCUACAAGACUGGAUUCGUGUGGCACAAUCUUUCUGCGGAUGAUCUACUGCUGCCCACGCAAGGAACAGAGUACGUUCUCAAGGGCUCCGAGCUCCCAUUCGACCAGUCAAAGCCAAUGCCAAUGCCAGAUCAUCAGCGGAAAGGAUGUCAACAUAGUAUACUCCCAUGGUUGCCGCAGAUUAGAAAGUUCAUGAAAAAUAAAUAUAGAAGUUCAGAGAAGAGCGUCGGAAAAAGAUUUGGGAAAAGACACACACCAAAAAAACAUGGGAAAGGCCUGGGGAUGUUUUUUCAUUUGACAUACUUCAAGUAUUUUGUGGGUUACGUCCAACGACAACGAGCAGGCGGCAAGUGUAUUGAUGAGCAAUGGGACGGUGGCAUGGAGCAGUUGAGUAGGUGUGCGUAGUUCAAGUUCACCAGUAUUUGUAAAUGCUGGUAGCAGUACUAGUAUUUACAAAUUUGUAACCUAAGAACUAAGCUUGCAUCUCGUUACUUCUAUGGAAGCACUGACCUCGUAAUUUUAUUGGACCAACCACUAACUUGAGAAUUAGACAUGGUGCUCAGUGUAUUCUCUCAAUCUUGGUUGUUCUUGCAGUGCUUAUAAGCUUGACAUCUUUGAUGAAUCCAGCCUGAACUGAAGCCUGUCGGUGAGCCGGGCGCUGGGCCAACCACUGUCGUCUAUCUACCUCCUUCCCCGGUGAGCUCAUGCUCUUCUGCUCUUGACGCUUGAACUGCCUGCAAUUCUUUUCUCUGUUUGAAAAUUCCCAAAGCAUCAGUACUUUGUAUCAGGAUACACCAUGUUAUUUCUGCAAAUUUCCAUUAUGCUUGUAUGUCCAAAAUGUGUGCAUUUACUACUUUUGAUUUGUUGUAGUGCAGAGAAGUUACCCUGUUGCGGGCUGACCUGGAGGCGGCUCCUCCAUGUUGACACAAUUGCAGGACCAACGUGCUACUGACCACGCAAGCUUCCUCAAGGAGCUCGUGCCCAACGAUACUAAAAGGAAAAACUGCUCCAGUUUUGAACUACUUAUUCAGUCAUGCUAUUACGGAGUGAAAAAUGGAGUGAAAGUGUAUUGCAAUUGAUCUCUCUUAGACCCUGUCAAUCCUCUAUCUAUCCUUUCUUUGCUUGUUUUUUGGUCUGUAAUUCAAAAACUUUGACCUUCGUAAUUCAAUUUUUGGUUAA
Molecule: RNA transcript, 3947 nt
Organism: Aegilops tauschii subsp. strangulata
Lineage: Eukaryota; Viridiplantae; Streptophyta; Magnoliopsida; Poales; Poaceae
Source: RefSeq, a predicted model, not a curated record